This 76-nucleotide microRNA precursor is filed under the name Schistosoma curassoni. RNAcentral's name for it is "mir-3492 microRNA precursor family". It matches the Rfam family "mir-3492 microRNA precursor family". The record is from Rfam by way of RNAcentral. Lineage: Eukaryota; Metazoa; Platyhelminthes; Trematoda; Strigeidida; Schistosomatidae.
AGCCUUCUGUAUCCAUGCUGAGAUUUCGUCACACCAGACCACAAGGGCUGAUGAGACUUCCAAGAUAAGUGAAGCG